This 1033-nucleotide ribosomal RNA is filed under the name Bacteroides salyersiae. RNAcentral's name for it is "partial 16S ribosomal RNA". Lineage: Bacteria; Pseudomonadati; Bacteroidota; Bacteroidia; Bacteroidales; Bacteroidaceae. The record is from RNAcentral.
CCUUCUGUACCCCCCAUUGUAACACGUGUGUAGCCCCGGACGUAAGGGCCGUGCUGAUUUGACGUCAUCCCCACCUUCCUCACAUCUUACGACGGCAGUCUCUCCAGAGUCCUCAGCAUGACCUGUUAGUAACUGAAGAUAAGGGUUGCGCUCGUUAUGGCACUUAAGCCGACACCUCACGGCACGAGCUGACGACAACCAUGCAGCACCUUCACAAAUGCCUUGCGGCUAUACUGUUUCCAGCAUAUUCAUUUGCAAUUUAAGCCCGGGUAAGGUUCCUCGCGUAUCAUCGAAUUAAACCACAUGUUCCUCCGCUUGUGCGGGCCCCCGUCAAUUCCUUUGAGUUUCACCGUUGCCGGCGUACUCCCCAGGUGGAAUACUUAAUGCUUUCGCUUGGCCGCUUACUGUAUAUCGCAAACAGCGAGUAUUCAUCGUUUACUGUGUGGACUACCAGGGUAUCUAAUCCUGUUUGAUACCCACACUUUCGAGCAUCAGUGUCAGUUGCAGUCCAGUGAGCUGCCUUCGCAAUCGGAGUUCUUCGUGAUAUCUAAGCAUUUCACCGCUACACCACGAAUUCCGCCCACCUCUACUGUACUCAAGACACGCAGUAUCAACUGCAAUUUUACGGUUGAGCCGCAAACUUUCACAACUGACUUACAUGUCCACCUACGCUCCCUUUAAACCCAAUAAAUCCGGAUAACGCUCGGAUCCUCCGUAUUACCGCGGCUGCUGGCACGGAGUUAGCCGAUCCUUAUUCAUAUGGUACAUACAAAAUGCCACACGUGGCAGACUUUAUUCCCAUAUAAAAGAAGUUUACAACCCAUAGGGCGGUCAUCCUUCACGCUACUUGGCUGGUUCAGGCUCUCGCCCAUUGACCAAUAUUCCUCACUGCUGCCUCCCGUAGGAGUUUGGACCGUGUCUCAGUUCCAAUGUGGGGGACCUUCCUCUCAGAACCCCUAUCCAUCGAAGGUUUGGUGGGCCGUUACCCCGCCAACUGCCUAAUGGAACGCAUCCCCAUCCUUUACCGAAAUUC